RNAcentral lists this ribosomal RNA (270 nucleotides) under uncultured archaeon. Its description in RNAcentral is "partial 16S ribosomal RNA". It matches the Rfam family "Archaeal small subunit ribosomal RNA", at positions 477 to 747 of the family's 1478-position model. The record is from RNAcentral.
CAGCACCUCAAGUGGUCAGGAUGAUUAUUGGGCCUAAAGCAUCCGUAGCCUGCUUUGUUAGUUUUCGGUUAAAUCCAUACGCUCAACGUACAGGCUGCCGGGAAUACUGCAGAGCUAGGGAGUGGGAGAGGUAGACGGUACUCGGUAGGAAGGGGUAAAAUCCUUUGAUCUAUUGAUGACCACCUGUGGCGAAGGCGGUCUACCAGAACACGUCCGACGGUGAGGGAUGAAAGCUGGGGGAGCAAACCGGAUUAGAUACCCGAGUAGUCC